This 810-nucleotide ribosomal RNA is filed under the name uncultured Alphaproteobacteria bacterium. RNAcentral describes it as "bacterial SSU rRNA". It matches the Rfam family "Bacterial small subunit ribosomal RNA", at positions 60 to 918 of the family's 1533-position model. Lineage: Bacteria; Pseudomonadati; Pseudomonadota; Alphaproteobacteria. The record is from RNAcentral.
AGUCGAGCGAGACCUUCGGGUCUAGCGGCGGACGGGUUAGUAACGCGUGGGAAUAUACCCUUCACUACGGAAUAGCCUCGGGAAACUGGGAGUAAUACCGUAUACGCCCUUUGGGGGAAAGAUUUAUCGGUGAAGGAUUAGCCCGCGUCUGAUUAGAUAGUUGGUGGGGUAAUGGCCUACCAAGUCUACGAUCAGUAGCUGGUUUGAGAGGAUGAUCAGCAACACUGGGACUGAGACACGGCCCACACUCCUACGGGAGGCAGCAGUGGGGAAUCUUAGACAAUGGGCGCAAGCCUGAUCUACCCAUGCCGCGUGAGUGACAAAGGCCUUAGGGUCGUAAAGCUCUUUCGCCAGAGAUGAUAAUGACAGUAUCUGGUAAAGAAACCCCGGCUAACUCCGUGCCAGCAGCCGCGGUAAUACGGAGGGGGUUAGCGUUGUUCGGAAUUACUGGGCGUAAAGCGCACGUAGGCGGAUUGGAAAGUAUGGGGUGAAAUCCCAGGGCUCAACCCUGGAACGGCCUUGUAAACUCCCAGUCUAGAGUUCGAGAGAGGUGAGUGGAAUUCCAAGUGUAGAGGUGAAAUUCGUAGAUAUUUGGAGGAACACCAGUGGCGAAGGCGGCUCACUGGCUCGAUACUGACCCUGAGGUGCGAAAGUGUGGGGAGCAAACAGGAUUAGAUACCCUGGUAGUCCCCCCGUAAACGAUGAAUGCCAAACCUCGGGGGGCUUGCCCUUCGGUGUCACCCCUAACGGAUUAAGCUUUCCCCCUGGGGAGUUCGGGCCGCAGAUUAAAACUCAACGGAAUUGACGGGG